Non-coding RNA from Cebus imitator (Panamanian white-faced capuchin), 1456 nucleotides. NCBI's taxonomy places the organism in Eukaryota, Metazoa, Chordata, Mammalia, Primates, Cebidae. The record is from the annotation of a RefSeq genome assembly.
CAGAUGCAAAUCAAGAGCCAACCAUGCAAGCUGGCCCUUCUAAGGACAGCGGUCUCAGGCCCACUGUGUUAACUCUUUUCUAUAUGUGCGCGCGUGCACACACACACACACACACACACACAGUGACAAUUCCAUGAGAACAAGGGAUGCCCUUCACUCUCUAGCACCUCUAUACCUUUUCUAGCCUAGACAAUGCCUGAGGGAUUAUGAGUGUGGGCUGGGACAAUGACAUCACAGACCAUCAACCCACAGCCUGGCCCUGGGAGAAGACCUAUUCUUUCUUCAGAACAGCCAUGGGAAUCAGGCUUCUCUGUAGUGUGGCCUUUUGCUUCCUGGGAGUAGGCCUCGUGGAAGUGAAAAUAACCCAGAACCCGAGAUAUCUAGUCAAAAAGAUGGGAGAGAAAGUUUCUCUGGAAUGUGCCCAGGAUAUGGACCAUGAAAGAAUGUUCUGGUACCGACAAGACCCAGGUCUGGGGCUACGGCUGAUCUAUUUCUCAUAUGAUAUUAAAAACGAUGAAAAAGGAGAUGUUCCUGAUGGGUACAGUGUCUCUAGAGAGAAGAAGGAGCAGUUCAUCCUGAUUCUGGGGUCUGCCCGCACCAACCAGACAUCUGUGUAUCUCUGUGCCAGCAGCCCAUCCACAGCGCAGCACGGCCACACCUUCGGUUCAGGAACCAAGUUAACGGUUGUAGAUGACCUGAGCAAGGUGUUCCCACCCACGGUCGCUGUGUUUGAGCCAUCAGAAACAGAGAUCUCUCGCACCCAAAAGGCCACGCUGGUGUGCCUGGCCACAGGCUUCUACCCCGACCACGUGGAGCUGAGCUGGUGGGUGAACGGGAAGGAGGUGCACAGUGGGGUCAGCACGGACCCGCAGCCCCUCAAGGAGCAGCCCGCCCUCAAUGACUCCAAAUACUGCCUGAGCAGCCGCCUGAGGGUCUCGGCCACCUUCUGGCACAACCCCCGCAACCACUUCCGCUGCCAAGUCGAGUUCUACGGGCUCUCGGAGGAUGACGAGUGGACCCAGCCAAGGGCCAAACCCAUCACCCAGAAAGUCAGCGCUGAGGCCUGGGGCAGAGCAAACUGUGGCUUCACCUCAGUGUCCUACCAGCAAGGGGUCCUGUCUGCCACUGUCCUUUAUGAGAUCCUGCUGGGGAAGGCCACCCUGUAUGCUGUGCUGGUCAGUGCCCUCGUGCUGAUGGCCAUGGUCAAGAGAAAGGAUUUCUGAAGGCAGCUCUGGAAGUGGAGUUAGGAGCUUCCAACCCGUCGUGGUUUUAAUACACAUUCUUCUUUCGCCAGUGCUUCUGAAGAGCUGCUCUCGCCCCUCUGUGCAUCUCAAUAUCUGCCCCCUAUAUGCAUGUACACCUGCACACUCAGGGCUGAAAUCUCCCUAACCCAGGGGAACUCUAGCAUCCCUACAUGACUGAGCCAAUAAAAUGUUCUGGUCUGGCCUGACUUUGA